AGUCUGCAACUCGACUCCAUGAAGUCGGAAUCGCUAGUAAUUCGAGAUCAGCAUGCUCGGGUGAAUGCGUUCCCGGGCCUUGUACACACCGCCCGUCACACCACGAAGUCGGUUUUACCCGAAGCCGGUGAGCUAACUCGCAAGAGAAGCAGCCGUCUACGGUAGGGGCCGA
This 172-nucleotide ribosomal RNA is filed under the name uncultured bacterium. RNAcentral's name for it is "partial 16S ribosomal RNA". It matches the Rfam family "Bacterial small subunit ribosomal RNA", at positions 1302 to 1471 of the family's 1533-position model. The record is from RNAcentral.